RNAcentral lists this ribosomal RNA (486 nucleotides) under Triticum aestivum (bread wheat). RNAcentral describes it as "partial small subunit ribosomal RNA". The record is from RNAcentral. Lineage: Eukaryota; Viridiplantae; Streptophyta; Magnoliopsida; Poales; Poaceae.
AUGGGGAACUUCCGCAAGCUCGGCCGCCACGCCGCCCACCGCGUCUCCAUGCUCAGGACGAUGGUGUCGCAGCUGGUAAAGCACGAGCGGAUCGAGACCACCGUCGCCAAGGCGAAGGAGGUGCGGCGGAAGGCGGAUCAGAUGGUGCAGCUCGGGAAAGAUGGUACACUAGAUGCAGCAAGACGUGCCUCGGCAUUUGUUCGGGGUGAUGACGUCGUUCACAAGUUAUUCACAGAGCUUGCGUACCGCUACAAGGAUCGAGCUGGUGGGUAUACAAGACUAUUGCGAACCAGGAUACGAAUUGGCGAUGCUGCACCAAUGGCUUACAUCGAGUUUGUCGACCGGGAGAAUGAACUUCGUGAGGCCAAACCUGCGACUCCACCGCCACCCCAGCGUGCCCCUCUUGAUCCAUGGACCAAGUCCCAUGCCAGCCAACAGUGGGCAGGGCCUAAAGUCAGCCAGAACUCCAAAACAGAAGGGCUAUGA